Molecule: ribosomal RNA, 2547 nt
Filed under: Escherichia coli
Lineage: Bacteria; Pseudomonadati; Pseudomonadota; Gammaproteobacteria; Enterobacterales; Enterobacteriaceae
Description: bacterial LSU rRNA
Rfam family: Bacterial large subunit ribosomal RNA
Source: RNAcentral
UGUGAGCUCGAUGAGUAGGGCGGGACACGUGGUAUCCUGUCUGAAUAUGGGGGGACCAUCCUCCAAGGCUAAAUACUCCUGACUGACCGAUAGUGAACCAGUACCGUGAGGGAAAGGCGAAAAGAACCCCGGCGAGGGGAGUGAAAAAGAACCUGAAACCGUGUACGUACAAGCAGUGGGAGCACGCUUAGGCGUGUGACUGCGUACCUUUUGUAUAAUGGGUCAGCGACUUAUAUUCUGUAGCAAGGUUAACCGAAUAGGGGAGCCGAAGGGAAACCGAGUCUUAACUGGGCGUUAAGUUGCAGGGUAUAGACCCGAAACCCGGUGAUCUAGCCAUGGGCAGGUUGAAGGUUGGGUAACACUAACUGGAGGACCGAACCGACUAAUGUUGAAAAAUUAGCGGAUGACUUGUGGCUGGGGGUGAAAGGCCAAUCAAACCGGGAGAUAGCUGGUUCUCCCCGAAAGCUAUUUAGGUAGCGCCUCGUGAAUUCAUCUCCGGGGGUAGAGCACUGUUUCGGCAAGGGGGUCAUCCCGACUUACCAACCCGAUGCAAACUGCGAAUACCGGAGAAUGUUAUCACGGGAGACACACGGCGGGUGCUAACGUCCGUCGUGAAGAGGGAAACAACCCAGACCGCCAGCUAAGGUCCCAAAGUCAUGGUUAAGUGGGAAACGAUGUGGGAAGGCCCAGACAGCCAGGAUGUUGGCUUAGAAGCAGCCAUCAUUUAAAGAAAGCGUAAUAGCUCACUGGUCGAGUCGGCCUGCGCGGAAGAUGUAACGGGGCUAAACCAUGCACCGAAGCUGCGGCAGCGACGCUGAUGCGUUGUUGGGUAGGGGAGCGUUCUGUAAGCCUGUGAAGGUGUGCUGUGAGGCAUGCUGGAGGUAUCAGAAGUGCGAAUGCUGACAUAAGUAACGAUAAAGCGGGUGAAAAGCCCGCUCGCCGGAAGACCAAGGGUUCCUGUCCAACGUUAAUCGGGGCAGGGUGAGUCGACCCCUAAGGCGAGGCCGAAAGGCGUAGUCGAUGGGAAACAGGUUAAUAUUCCUGUACUUGGUGUUACUGCGAAGGGGGGACGGAGAAGGCUAUGUUGGCCGGGCGACGGUUGUCCCGGUUUAAGCGUGUAGGCUGGUUUUCCAGGCAAAUCCGGAAAAUCAAGGCUGAGGCGUGAUGACGAGGCACUACGGUGCUGAAGCAACAAAUGCCCUGCUUCCAGGAAAAGCCUCUAAGCAUCAGGUAACAUCAAAUCGUACCCCAAACCGACACAGGUGGUCAGGUAGAGAAUACCAAGGCGCUUGAGAGAACUCGGGUGAAGGAACUAGGCAAAAUGGUGCCGUAACUUCGGGAGAAGGCACGCUGAUAUGUAGGUGAAGCGACUUGCUCGUGGAGCUGAAAUCAGUCGAAGAUACCAGCUGGCUGCAACUGUUUAUUAAAAACACAGCACUGUGCAAACACGAAAGUGGACGUAUACGGUGUGACGCCUGCCCGGUGCCGGAAGGUUAAUUGAUGGGGUCAGCGCAAGCGAAGCUCUUGAUCGAAGCCCCGGUAAACGGCGGCCGUAACUAUAACGGUCCUAAGGUAGCGAAAUUCCUUGUCGGGUAAGUUCCGACCUGCACGAAUGGCGUAAUGAUGGCCAGGCUGUCUCCACCCGAGACUCAGUGAAAUUGAACUCGCUGUGAAGAUGCAGUGUACCCGCGGCAAGACGGAAAGACCCCGUGAACCUUUACUAUAGCUUGACACUGAACAUUGAGCCUUGAUGUGUAGGAUAGGUGGGAGGCUUUGAAGUGUGGACGCCAGUCUGCAUGGAGCCGACCUUGAAAUACCACCCUUUAAUGUUUGAUGUUCUAACGUUGACCCGUAAUCCGGGUUGCGGACAGUGUCUGGUGGGUAGUUUGACUGGGGCGGUCUCCUCCUAAAGAGUAACGGAGGAGCACGAAGGUUGGCUAAUCCUGGUCGGACAUCAGGAGGUUAGUGCAAUGGCAUAAGCCAGCUUGACUGCGAGCGUGACGGCGCGAGCAGGUGCGAAAGCAGGUCAUAGUGAUCCGGUGGUUCUGAAUGGAAGGGCCAUCGCUCAACGGAUAAAAGGUACUCCGGGGAUAACAGGCUGAUACCGCCCAAGAGUUCAUAUCGACGGCGGUGUUUGGCACCUCGAUGUCGGCUCAUCACAUCCUGGGGCUGAAGUAGGUCCCAAGGGUAUGGCUGUUCGCCAUUUAAAGUGGUACGCGAGCUGGGUUUAGAACGUCGUGAGACAGUUCGGUCCCUAUCUGCCGUGGGCGCUGGAGAACUGAGGGGGGCUGCUCCUAGUACGAGAGGACCGGAGUGGACGCAUCACUGGUGUUCGGGUUGUCAUGCCAAUGGCACUGCCCGGUAGCUAAAUGCGGAAGAGAUAAGUGCUGAAAGCAUCUAAGCACGAAACUUGCCCCGAGAUGAGUUCUCCCUGACUCCUUGAGAGUCCUGAAGGAACGUUGAAGACGACGACGUUGAUAGGCCGGGUGUGUAAGCGCAGCGAUGCGUUGAGCUAACCGGUACUAAUGAACCGUGAGGCUUAACNNN